CAUCCCUGGGAGGCAGCAGGAAAAAAGGCAGGGUUAAUAGAAAUAUGUAUUUGGCCAGUGGAUUGUAACAAACCCUAACAGGUGUUGGGCUGUUACCAGCAUAUUAAUCUGGCCAGCAGCUGAUGUACUCCUAUUUUAAGGUCACUCAGUGCUACUGACUUUUUUACGAAGUCCUCUUGGUAUGAUGUUUCUCAGGGAAGUUGAUUGAAAAGUUUUAUAGGCUGACAAUGGACUGAAAGGGAUUAUCAUUUACAAGUGACUAAGGGCAAUAUGGCUGAUCAGAUCACAUUUGAGUGUCUCAACUAUUUAGAGAGGAUUCUGAGAUAUUUUCAGCAAUUGGUUGCAUCUUCAGAUCUGUGACUGCUUUCUUUCUUAUAUUUUAGAAAGAAAAAAAUAUGUAUUUGUAUCAGACACAAUUAUGUUGAUGUGGAAAUUCCGUCUUUGGAAUUUACUUUUUCUUGUAUGCUAGGAUCUGCUUAUUUUCCUUAGAACUGGAAAGAAAAUAUACAACCCUAAAACAUGGUGAAGCGUCUUGCCUUACCCAUAGCAUCUCUGUGUCAGCUUGUUCUUCUGAUCUGCAGUUGUCCGCAGAUAUAGUAACCUAGGCAGCAGCUCCAUCACAGGUAAUGGUGACUAAAUAUAGGUGCUAAUACAGUGCCUGUGCUUUGGUCUUCUGGUUGUCUGUAAGAAGCCCAGCACUAUUCCUAUGCUUUGAUGACCCACAAGAUCCAUUUGGACCCUACCAGCAACUCAGUAUGGCCAAGCAGCUGCAGAAAAUACUCAUUUCUGGAUUACUCAUCUGAGAGCGUCUGCCUUCUCUUAUACCUGACUGUUCCAGCUCCUAUACCUGAUUACCACAACUCCCACUUUCCCUGGCUCUCCCUUCCCUUAUAUUCUUCAAACUUAUCGCCCUCUAAAAUAAGGCCAUUUGAAACAUUUUGUAGUGACAGAGGCAGCUGAGUUAACCCGUGUAAUGUAAGAAACAUAGGUAGCCCCAGAAAUGCCAAGGCAGUGAAAAGAAUUCAGAAAGUUUGUUUGGAAGGCCAGAACACAAAAAACUUACAAAAUACCUAACAGUGUGGUUUCCACACCGCCUGAGGGAGAAAAAGGCCAGUUCCCUCCCUCUCAGGGCCUCUUUAUCCUCUCUGUUUCUCCCCCGCCUUCCCAAGGCCUCUGUGCAUGUCUGUUAGGGCUAUUUCUCUCCAGCAUAGGAGAGAGAGAGAGAUAACAUAGGUCUCUCUGUAACCCCCUCUGGACUGCAGAAGGGGAAAAAAAAACAUCUAACCCUCUUGAGAAGGCACUUUGCAGUCUUCCUAAGAGAAAACAAGAAUUUCCAGCUUUCCUGUUACAAAUGCUUCCAAAAGCAAACUACCUCUACAAUCUUAAUUUCUCAAGGAAUCUGACUCUCUCUUACACUUUGCCAUGUUCCUUUUUUUCUGGUUUUCAUUUUUCAUAAGGACUUCAGGAUAAAGACUGUAUUAUUUUAAUGUUUGCAAAUUAUCUAGGAUAUAAUGUUAUAGUCCACAUUUUUGUCAGCCUUAAAAAGAGAGAAAUCUUUCAGACACUACGAUUCACCACCAUUGUGGCUACUGACACAUGGGAUAAUACACACACAAAAAUACAGAAGAGUGGAAUGUGUCCCUUAUUUUUUGUCAAUUUUUCAUCUGGAUUGUAAUUCCAUUCAAAACUACAUAUUAAAAAUACCAUCAUAUCUUCAUUAAUUAGUGUUAGCCAGGGUAGCACUUCAAUGUUUCAUACACUGAAAUUUAGUUGGCUCUAUUUUAUACCCUAACAUCCACUCAAGGUACUGCAGAGUAUCCUUCCUUAGUUCACACCAAUAAGAGGAGACUGGCUAUACAACUAAGAGUUUCUACUCUUUAGAGAGAGAAGGAAAGGACCAGUUCAGGAAACAAUGCAGGCCACACAGUGUUGACCCAGUGCAUCCUAGAUAAAUGGUCUUCUGACAUGAGACACCUGACAGAGAUGGGACCCCUGUGCUCACACCAGUACAAUGCCCAUCCUUCCUUUUACACAGCAGGAUCCAAAAGCAGGCUGUGAAUCAUAAUGGAGGCUGCCUCCAGAUACCUCUAGAGUUGACCUGGAGGCUACAUUCACUGGAGCUUGGGUGUGGAAAGUGCUAACCUGGAAGAGGUUAUCCUCUCCCAAGACUACUCACCUUGAAUUUCUUGGCUGCUUCCUUUUCUUCUACAAGGUCUUAGUUUGUGGGAUCUUUUUUGCACUAAGUUUGUGUGUCACCUUUGAUUCAGAGAAAGAGAAGGAAUGGGAGAUGCAGACAUGAUCAGAAAGCUAAGGGUGAAGACACAUGUCCAUCUGCAAGACUGAGGACUGACUGCUGGGCUGACAGUGUGUCUGGAAAACCAUGGUUCCACAUGGAGUGAGAAGAGUUAGCAUUAGCAUCUCUGGAAGAGAGAGAAGGAAAGAAAGUAGAAGAAGAGCACUUGUCCCUCAGGUAUUGGGAUAGGAACUUGAGGUCCAGGUGGGAAGGAGAGUAGUACUGUGAUGUCCUAGUUAGAACAUCUGGGACCAAUUCAUCACUGGAUGGGUGUAACCCAAACUGUGUAUUCUAUAGCCUUCCAUGCCAUUUCCCAGAAACUGUUAUCAAUAGAGCAUUUAUACUCUCUGCCCAGAGCAGCCUGACUCCUCAGGCUAUAAACUAGGCGUUAAGAGGCCUGCGAGAUAGGAAGAUGUUCCUGUCCUCACACCCUUUUAUGGAAUUCCCUGCUCUGAGGGAAGGAUUGAGCAUUCCUGCCUAAACUGGAGAAUAUAUAAACUUGGAGUUUUGAAACCUUUUUACCACUCGUGGGAUCCAGAGGAAGACUGCAGCUCAUCGCUCUCGGCCAGACUGCAGCUCACAGCUCUCAACCAGACUGAGACCACCACCCUCAACUGGACUGCAAUCGUCACUUUUGACCAGACUGCAACAGCUCUCCCACCAGCAGGUUUUUCCCCUCUCCCUUUACUUUGGACUCAGGGGGGGCCAAGGAACACCACUUUGUUCAUGCCCCAGGGUGCUGGGUUAUACAUUUGGGUUUUGUGGGUUAAGACCAAUUGUUUGUCUGUAUAAUUAUACUUAUUGUAUUAUUUUAUUAAAUUGUUAUUCUGACUUAUAA
Molecule: long non-coding RNA, 3131 nt
Organism: Pseudopipra pipra
Lineage: Eukaryota; Metazoa; Chordata; Aves; Passeriformes; Pipridae
Exons: 3
Source: RefSeq, a predicted model, not a curated record